CAAAAAGUGACAAUUUAAAACACCACUUUUCCUGUGUUAUUGUACUAUAAUUUUCAAUUUUCAUAGAUUCUGCUGUACAUGCAAAUUACAAUAAAACUACUUUUUGUCAUUCUCACUACUGCCAUUACUGAUAGACAGCAUGCUGGUAGGCUACUAAAUAAAUCAGAAAUUAUUUGUUUAUAUUUUUCAAGAUAACAUCAAGCAGUACGAAAUAUAAAGGUUCGCAGUUUUGACUAUGCUCAACAUCAAAGCCAACACAUAAAUGCAGAUUCUUUGGAGUUGCUGUGAAUCCUCAUGCAAAUUCGUUGGAGCUGCUGUGAAUCCAUAUGCAGUACUGCUGUUGGAAAAGGAGCAAACAGUGUGGUAUCUAUGGCCCACCAUCACUUCAAGCAUCAUUGCUAUGGAGAAAAGAAUGUUUCAUUACAUAUGCGCAAUUAUAGUGGACGAAAUAAAAGAAGUUGUAAUAAGCUAUGGAAUGUGGCUUGUUAUGAUGGGUCUACAUGAUGAAUUGAAGUACAACCUGAUGGAGGCAGGGCAUACAGAAUUCACUCCUGAACAUGUUUAGAAUGUCUUCUGCAUGACCUGGUACAGUAUUCUUGAAGGAUUAUAACUUCAACACAGAGACGGAGAUUAGUAUUUUUAGGCAGGGGGUUGGCAUGACAGGCAAAUUCACCAGCCGUAUUACCAUUCUUGAGCUUGAUGCCAGUCGACCGUGGUACCUGUAUAAUGAAAUAGCGCACCUUUGCCACAACAGCAAUGUAUGCUCAAAACCAGCAGUGCCUAAGCUAUCAAAAUUGUGAACUGCAGUCAUUUAAAACGAAGAAUGAAUGGAAAAAAGUGUUUAACAUUUAAAAUAAUAGAGAAAAAAAUCUCUGAAAGUUUAAUUAAUUUGAAAGUGUUUUUGAUUUUUUGAAGAUGUACUAGACCCAAAUUCCAUAUAUCUGAAUUCCAAAAAUGUUACAUAUAGUAUAUGUAAACUUUGAAUUAACAAAUUUAUGGUGUCAACAGUAAUAUGCAUUUGUUAAAUAUUGACACACUAUAUACAUGUAAGGCUGAACACAGUAUAAAUGAGAAUAUGUUGUAUUAUGUUAACUGCGUAACGAUGGAAACUUUUUUCUGUUGUUCUAUAUUAUGUCUUGGAAAAAAAAACAUUGAUGGAAGAACACUUUUCAUUGAUGCAUUUUUUUAUUUUUACAUGUAACGGUAAAUGCUGAAAGUGUUCUACAACAACUUACCAGAAAUGUCAUUGUUGCCUCAUUGAAGCAUAUACCGCAACUCCAUUUUAACCAUAGCAACAGAAAUAUAUUGUACAUGUACCUUUUAACAGUUUUAAGCUAUGCUUUCCUCUUUGAUUUUGUCUGACGGAACAAGUAGAUGACUACGAUGAAUGCCUUUAUGAGUGUUUAGCUAAAAGUUUGCUUUUAAUUUAUAUUUAAAGAACAUUUUUAUGCUUAAGAUACCUUGCCUUCUGCUUCCAUUGCGUGUGUUAGCUUUUAUUUUCAUCUUAAUAUUCCGGCGAUUCAUUGUGCGAUCAUUUUACCUUUUCUUUGCGACGGAUUCCGCGGAGUUCGGUUUUUGAAAGAAUCAAAACAGUUCGAAAGAAGAGACACGACCUGGAGCCAAAUACAAUUAUUACGGAUAUGACAUUUAAGUGCAAUUUAGUACUUUUACAGUCUUGACAUAGUGUUAUAAUUGUUUAUUAACGUCACUAUCGUUAGUGUUUUGUCGUGUAUGGACAAUAUUUUGAUUAGAGUUUUGUCUGUCUUUUAAUCAUUGUAAUUUGUCAUCUUUUGUUUAUCAUCUGUAAUCAAAUUUGUAAAAAGUGUACAUAGAUGUUUGAUGUUGUUCUGAUCUGCUAUUGUUUUCUGUGUACCCAUCUCCCCCUUCCGUCCUGUGAAACAUAUAUGUAGGGAUUCCCAAAGAGUACACUGUAUGCAUAGGCUAAAUUAGACGAGAAAGAAAUAAGCAGGCAAAGCAGGAAAAUAAAACUCUUUUAACUACACACAUGCCUACUGAAAAUACAUGUUAUGUGGUUAGCGCAAAGAAGGCUAGAAGGCGUGUUACGUUGUUCUGUUCUUAUUUUUAUUAAUCUUUGUUUAGUGCCAUUACGGGCAUUUUUAGUGUCAUAUUUAUACAUCAUGUGCCAAAGUUAUGUUCUUAUUUUGACAAUUUGAAAAAAAGUCGUUUUGAAUUUACUGGUUGAACAAAUGUUUCAGAUCAAUAAAAGCCAUAUUUAGUGAGAAAAAUACUGUUGUUUACAGUAGUGUGUUAAUUUUACAUAAAUAUAUCGAAUGUUAAAAAUGUUCGAUGUUCUGUUUGUUACAAUUAUUAAACGGUAACUGAUGUCAUAUCCGUAACUGUACCAUCUAUAAGAACAUUAAAUAUUAAUUUGCACAAUUUUUACAUAGAAGGAGAUGGUGUGUAAGUGACUUAAUAAGACCACGCUUGGAUGUCAAUUGUCAGCAGAUAAUCAAAUGUCUAUAUCGUCUGUUUCCUGCAUGGUCCAUAAUUUUAUCAUUUAUUUUAUCUGGCCUUGUGUUUGAUGAGAACAUUUGGCACACGCUAUACCCAUAAAGAUGAAAAAUUAUUCUAAGUUGUAAACCUAACCCUUACCAUAGAUAUAUCUUAAAAAUAUCCCCGUUACAUUUAUAUGGACAACCUGUUUUCUACGCUAAUUGUCAGAAUACUUAAUUCUGGUACAUAAUAGGUAGAUCCAAUCUGACUAAAGUACAUCUCCUAUUACGCUACGCAUAGGAUCUGACAACGAGCUAUUGAUGGCCUCGUUCUGACAACCCUUCCGCUAGCCAAUCAAAAGUUAACUUACAACAUUUUGUAAGCUUUAAAAAGCCUUGGUAUUUGAUAUCAAAAAUGUUUAUGUCGAAAGAUGUCAGGUAGCCGUUUAGCUCAGUCGGUAGCGCAUUUGCUCUGUAAGCGAGAGGUCCCGGGUUCGAGCCCUGGAUUAACUGCAGAUUUUUCUUACUCUUUGACAUUCGAAAAAGUUGUCUGAUUGGUUCAAACAAAAAUAGAUUUGCGAAAAUAAAAAUAGCAAUCUUGGAAAUCCAAAAUAUACAGAACACGAAUGUGAAUGGGUCGUUCUCAGAUCUUCGUUUAGAAGAUCAAGUACUUUAGUCAGAUUGUAGGUAGAUCAAACAUUAUGUUACAUGUAUUUGCUAAGUUGCCUAAGGAGGGUAACAUACUCCAGUACACGUUUGACAGCAUUCAGAAAGACAACAAACAUUUGUAAAGCAUUACAGCUAUUUUAAAACACAAAAGUAUGCCUUCUGAGUUUUAGCAAUUUAAAAAAAGAGAUUGUGAACACUUCAAUGACUAUAACUCUUUAAGCAACUUUAUUUAAGGCCCAAAUAAUACUUUCGUGUAUGAAGUUAAUACCAUUAGAAUGGAUUAGAUUUAUACUUUACUGAAUGUUAAAUUAAACAAAAGGGAAUGAAAAGUUGAAUAAACAUAGUUUUGUAUAAUUUGAAAACAAGAAAUGAGUUGAUACUUCCGUAUCAGGACAUACGGGGACAUCUUAUAUUCAAUGACUGAUAUCAUGUAAGAAUUAUGGCAUGUGAUAUCUAGUUUGUCAACUAUUCGUCGCAGGAGGAAAAAACGAAAAACACAUUUAGGCAGACGCUCCUUCUUCCAUUAACAGUAAAGGGUUUCGAUAAAAUUUUAUUUUUGAACGACUGCUUGAAAGAUUAAAAGACAAGGCAAAACAGCUUUUUUCUGCCUUAAUUGAGGAUAGAGACAAGAAAACUUAAUUACUGAACUUGAUUACAGAAUAUUUUAAGGUAUUGUAUGAAUAAUGUCCCGUAUAACAUAAAUCGCUUAUGUAAUGGUUUAACCAGAAAAAAUGGUAUACACACAUAUGUCUGCCUUCGGAUACUAUUACAUGUUUUGUAACUUGGACAGACAUUUUUUGUCAGCUUUAUAUUUUGCUGUCAUUUUGGGUCAAUUCUGUCACUGGUUCCUUAAAACGAAAUGUUGACUUCGUACUUGUUUGAGAAUACGGACAUAUGUUUUAAUUUAAUAGCAGAUUAACUAAUUGCUAUAAUUAUCUAUCUUACGAAACAGCAGUUGACUAAUUAAACGAUAAUCUGUUUUAUUACUAACAAACUGUUUUUACCAAACUUGUAAACGACUCCAUGUUUACAGAAAAUGUGCGAGGGACUCAUCUUAAAGUAUAAGGCACCAUUAAUAUCUAUAUUCAUCUUCUCUUUGUUGAAUAACUCGUGACCUGUUUCAGUUUUAUUUUCCAAGUGUUUCAGUAUCCUUUGGUCGAAGAAAGCUUACAUUUUGACUUAAACAGAAACUACACGUGUCAAACGUUGCGUUUGAAAACCAUAAUUUGAAUUCUUUGAAACGUGACAAUUUUGCAUGGUGUGAUUUUAUACGAUUAUUAUGAACAACUACCACAUGUUGACGUUGUUUGUCUGUAUAGCGCACGAAAUAAAGUGCUCCGUGAGGAAACUUUUUCGUGUCUAAUGCUUUCAAACGUAUUUCGGAAUGAUUAGGCACAACUUUAUUGAACGCAACCUGAUCAAUUCGCAGAUGUUUCUCCAGAAAUGUGUCCCAUGCUUGCAUUAAGUUCCGACAUGCCUGGCAAUUUUUUAUCACUAUAAAUCCCGUGCAGUAGUUUCGUAGUCCAUAUUUUGGCAUCAGUAUGUCAAACGUAUCAUUAAACAACGGAAAUGGGUUUUUUAACCAAACAGUAUCAGCAUCUGUAUAUACAACGUUGUACCCUUUCUGCAAGUAUUUCAAUAUAUACUUUGGGCGCCCUGAUACCAAUUUAGAGAAAGGUUUAGUUCCGUACGUAGCAGCAGCAGUCGUUGAAUUCCGCAAAUUUUUAUCAGGUGUAAUAUAAGUAUAUUUGUUAAGCAGUUUGGGGUACACAAUGUUAUCUUCGGCAAUGACUAUUAUUCUGAUAUCCAAAUUAAGUUUUCUGUAAAAAUGAAGCCUAUUUUGGAAAAAGUCGUAGAAACCGUCAUUUAUUGUUAGUAAUAUGAUCCAAUCCUUAUACGAUUGUGUCAACAAAUUCGCAGUAUUUUUACUUUUGUAAUGGAAAUAUUGAGUACUCACCAAAACAGAAACUAAAGAAAAUGACAGAACGAUGAAGACAAAUGUUUUUUGCAUUAUUUUGCUAAAGCUUGGUUUAAAGAAAUAUAUAUUACAAAG
This is a long non-coding RNA of Mercenaria mercenaria, 5175 nucleotides long. RefSeq lists it as uncharacterized. The record is from RefSeq and is a predicted model, not a curated record. The transcript is spliced from 4 exons. NCBI's taxonomy places the organism in Eukaryota, Metazoa, Mollusca, Bivalvia, Venerida, Veneridae.